RNAcentral lists this ribosomal RNA (492 nucleotides) under uncultured bacterium. RNAcentral describes it as "partial 16S ribosomal RNA". It matches the Rfam family "Bacterial small subunit ribosomal RNA", at positions 29 to 507 of the family's 1533-position model. The record is from RNAcentral.
AGUGAACGCUGGCGGUAGGCCUAACACAUGCAAGUCGAACGGCAGCACAGUAAGAGCUUGCUCUUACGGGUGGCGAGUGGCGGACGGGUGAGGAAUACAUCGGAAUCUACUUUUUCUUGGGUGAUAACGUAGGGAAACUUACGCUAAUACCGCAUACGACCUACGGGUGAAAGCAGGGGAUCUUCGGACCUUUCGCGAUUGAAUGAGCCGAUGUCGGAUUAGCUAGUUGGCGGGGUAAAGGCCCACCAAGGCGACGAUCCGUAGCUGGUCUGAGAGGAUGAUCAGCCACACUGGAACUGAGACACGGUCCAGACUCCUACGGGAGGCAGCAGUGGGGAAUAUUGGACAAUGGGCGCAAGCCUGAUCCAGCCAUACCGCGUGGGUGAAGAAGGCCUUCGGGUUGUAAAGCCCUUUUGUUGGGAAAGAAAAGCAGCAGGUUAAUACCCCGCUGUUCUGACGGUACCCAAAGAAUAAGCACCGGCUAACUUCGUG